Long non-coding RNA from Panicum virgatum (switchgrass), 1374 nucleotides. RefSeq lists it as uncharacterized. NCBI's taxonomy places the organism in Eukaryota, Viridiplantae, Streptophyta, Magnoliopsida, Poales, Poaceae. The transcript has 4 exons. The record is from RefSeq and is a predicted model, not a curated record.
AUAGUUAAAACCCACUCCCCUUUGCCCUCACCGCCGCAUCCCACAGGAAAAGUCGCACACGUGUCGCUGCCCCGCGAGCUCAGGCUUUUUUUUGCAAAAACGCCCUCCGGUUUCAUAGGAAUCACAGCCCAAUCCAACACACCCAAAAUGCACAGUAACCACGUGCAUAUAUUUUACAAUUAAACUCUCAUACUUAAAUUUAUUUCAACACGAAGAAGCGAAAAAUCAAUAGUGCUAUCAUCUUCACAGAAACCACCUCGAGGAUAUUUUACAAACACCACCUCUCACCACCCAACCGGCCACCUCCCAACUCCAACCCUAACCCUCCUCCUCAAUCCUCCCUGCCGCCCGCCGCCACCUCCCCUCACUCUCUGCCUCCCCGCCGCCAUCUCCCCGCCCCUUCCCUCUCCGCCUACCUCCGCCGCUCCCCGCCGGCCGGGGCCCUCGCUAGAGCGGCCGGUGCCCAGUGCCGCAGCACCCCACGCCCGACGCGGUUCUCCUCCCCGGCUCCGCUCCCCGCCUCACCCCUCCGUGCGGCACAGCCCGCUGUGGAUCUGGCGGGUCGCAGCCUACCUCCCGUGGCUACUCGUCGCCGCAGCCGGGGAGCAGCCGUGGAUGCGACGCUGGCCGACUUCGGCGCCCACUUCGAGCGCCUCUUCGCGUCCCCCGACGAGGCCUCCCGCCUCCGACGGCAAGGUGAAGCUGCAGCUCCUCUUGGCGGACCGCGAGUCCGGCUCCUCCCUGCCCAGAUUGAAUAAAGCAUUUAUCAUGGUUGCUGUCAUGUUGAUGUUCAUACUAUAGAGAUAAUGAUGGGUUUCUGAUCCUGGUGACUCGAAAACUUCACGGGGAGAUCCUCAAACACCUCCAAAGGUUAAGAACAUUAGCUUCAAUGUCUGGGAUGUGAGUUGUCAGGACAAGGUAAGAAUAAAACCUUUUUGUUUGGGUGAUAUUACUUUUGAUAUCAUAUUGUCUAAUAUGAAAUUUAGAACUCACUUCAAAUUUUGAUGGAAAUAUUUGUGCUCUACUUCAAAUUUUGAUAGAUGGAAAUGUUGCUUAUUACAUAUUUGAGGUUCUCAGGUUAUCAGGUACAAGCACAGUCAUCAACUGCUUUCUGAAAACUUAUAUGCAACAUGCUCUUGGUUGAGCUCAAGCUCCAGCACGACCUCGAGCUCAAGCAGUGCAAUGAGCGCCGGAUAGAAUGCGGAUAUGAGACACCUAUGAUGAAUAGUGUACCCACAAUCCCACAUUGCUCAAUGUUAGAAUAUUAACGAUGUAUCUAUUACCUUAUGUUGUGAUUUUGUUAUGAAUUUAUCCUAUACCAUGCAUGCCAUUUAUCACAUUUCAUUGCCUUUAGUUUACUUAUGUUUAAUUGAA